CUGUGUUGCUGGCUUCCCGACCUACUGCCUGUCCACGACUAUCCUUCCGUCUGAUCCCUCUGGAAUUAGUCUGCCCCGCUGAUUGUCUGCCUGGAUUUGACAUUGCCUCCGCUUCGACCACAAGCUCAGCCUGCCCCUCGACAGUGCCGCUGCACUUCACAAAGACUCUCAGGUGUAGUGUGUUUUCUGUGUACACUCACCUUUCUGCCUGUUGGAUCGGUUUCCUGUGGAUCUGUGUUCUGUUGGACUUGGAGAUUCUACAGAGACUGCUUAAAUCAAUCCCAGUAUCUUCAGUUUCCUGUGUGCUGUGUUCUGUUGCAAUAAAAGUAGCUUCUAAACCACUACCUGCUGUUGUGCUGCACUUGGGUCCUACAUCCACACCCCUGACAAAAAUAUGUACAUUCUACAAAACUUAUCGUGUUCAUUCUAAAACUGAACUGUCCAUUCUAGAAUCUCACUGAGUUCAUUCUAGAAUCUUACUGUUUCAUUCUAGAAUCCGACUGUCUUUAUUUAUAGAAUUUUGCCACUAGAUGUUGCUCAGUCUCUCCAUUCUGUACACAGCGCCUUUAAAUGAAAUGGAAACUACUUUAAACUCAUUCACUGAUCAUCUCUUUCACCCAUCCAGAGUUGGUAAAGAGAGGCGACCCCGACACACCCCCUCUCCCCAACAGUGGUCACCUGCUCCUCUGACUCUCGGUCAACCCCAGGAUCUCCUCCUAUUGGAAAUCU
Xyrichtys novacula (pearly razorfish) is the source of this 729-nucleotide non-coding RNA. The record is from the annotation of a GenBank genome assembly. Lineage: Eukaryota; Metazoa; Chordata; Actinopteri; Labriformes; Labridae.